CUGCUGCCUUCCGUAGGAGUCUGGACCGUGUCUCAGUUCCAGUGUGGCUGGUCAUCCUCUCAGACCAGCUAGGGAUCGUCGCCUAGGUGAGCCGUUACCCCACCUACUAGCUAAUCCCAUCUGGGCACAUCCGAUGGCAAGAGGCCCGAAGGUCCCCCUCUUUGGUCUUGCGACGUUAUGCGGUAUUAGCUACCGUUUCCAGUAGUUAUCCCCCUCCAUCAGGCAGUUUCCCAGACAUUACUCACCCGUCCG
RNAcentral lists this ribosomal RNA (252 nucleotides) under uncultured bacterium. RNAcentral's name for it is "partial 16S ribosomal RNA". The record is from RNAcentral.